UACGGAGGGUGCGAGCGUUAAUCGGAAUUACUGGGCGUAAAGCGUGCGUAGGUGGUUGAUUAAGUUAUCUGUGAAAUCCCUGGGCUCAACCUGGGCAGGUCAGAUAAAACUGAUUAACUCGAGUAUAGGAGAGGGUAGUGGAAGUUUCCGGUGUAGCGGUGAAAUGCGUAGAGAUCGGAAGGAACACCAGUGGCGAAGGCGGCUACCUGGCCUAAUACUGACACUGAGGCACGGAAAGCGUGGGGAGCGAACAGG
This 255-nucleotide ribosomal RNA is filed under the name uncultured bacterium. RNAcentral describes it as "partial 16S ribosomal RNA". It matches the Rfam family "Bacterial small subunit ribosomal RNA", at positions 524 to 776 of the family's 1533-position model. The record is from RNAcentral.